UUGUCUGACUGACACCCAAGAUUGCCUUGUAAAUUCCCUCUGAAUAAAUAUUUGACUACUUACCAACCUUGAAGGGUCUGCCUCUUUCUUUGGCCUGAGCUUAUGAAGAGCAGUUCUUGGUUCUGACAAAGUGUUUUCCCAAUACAAAGGGUUUAGACCCUCUAAGGAUGCAUAACUAGCCAAGGCAGAAAACCAGUCUCUUUGCCACAUAAGAUUUUAAUUCCAACAUUACUCCACAAUUAAUUGAUAAUAUACUAUAUCAUCUUUAUUUUUACUAUUGUUAGUUAAAAAUGUGGGUUUUUUGUUUGUUUGUUUCUUUCAAGUCAAGAAUCUACUAUAGCUGUUUAUGGUCUAUCAUAUUAGAUCUAAAUUCCAGUUGUUAUUUAAAUUUUUCAAUCUAGUAUCACCUAAUAUGAAUUAUCUCUCCAAUUAAUUUGGUUUCAGGUUAUUUUUCACUGAAGCCAGGGAGUACAAAUUAGGUCUGAAACCUGUAAGUUUUAAAACAGGGUCUGCCUUGGGAAAUCUAGGGCAUCAGGUUCUUAGAUGAUAGGACAAUGCAAGCCAGGCAGUAGUGUCUUAGCUAAGCACCCUCUGAGCCAGUGAGCAGUUGGCUCUAUUUAAAUCAGUUAAAAAUAGACUAACCAGCAGUUAAAAUUUUCAGCACAGCAAAAAGCAGUGAGGACAAGGUUUAUUCUUUGAUCUCUAAAGGUUUGCUUCAUUGAGCCUGAUAAUGGUGCAUGACGUGAAGAAUGUUAGCUAUACUGUGGUCUCACAUUACCUUGGUUUUACUUAGUCAUCAGUGUAAUUUAUCUAAGGGCAACUUGCCGCUAAAAAAAGAGCUCAGCUUGAAGGCUUCUAGCUUACACAGCAGGAGUUUCUGGAAAUUUUACUGCUGGUGGUGGUGGAUAGAAGGCAGAGAUAUGGCCAGUAUCAAACGAGAUUAUGUCCUGGGAAUUCAGAGAUUACAGUCUGAAGAAUUCAAGAAAUAAGGCAUUUUCAAAACCUCAGAUCUUCUCCUUGAUUAAGAUUGUCUCCUA
RNAcentral lists this long non-coding RNA (1037 nucleotides) under Callithrix jacchus (white-tufted-ear marmoset). RNAcentral describes it as "lncRNA (ENSCJAG00000052080.2)". The record is from RNAcentral. Lineage: Eukaryota; Metazoa; Chordata; Mammalia; Primates; Cebidae.